Molecule: long non-coding RNA, 420 nt
Organism: Papilio machaon (common yellow swallowtail)
Lineage: Eukaryota; Metazoa; Arthropoda; Insecta; Lepidoptera; Papilionidae
Exons: 4
Source: RefSeq, a predicted model, not a curated record
GACCAACUCAACCAGGCAGUGGUGGACCAACUCAACCAGGCGGUAAUGGACCAACUCAACCAGGCAGCGGACAAACAAUCCCUGGAGGACAGCCUAGACCAGGCAAAAAACCAAAGCCAGGAAAGAAGAGAAUCGAAAAGGUAUUUAAUUCAAAAUCAGAAGCUAAUGCGGAAGCCGAUGCACAAUCAUCUACUGAAAUUGACUACACAACAACACAGACUGGCACUAUUGGAACAAGUACAUUAAAUUCAAGGAGCAAAGCAAGCAGUAACAGUAAAAGCAAAAGUUCAUCUUCGACAUCAACAGCAGUAAAAGAAACGGACUCAUAUGAGACAGAUUAUGAUGACAACAAUCCAGGCAGUGGUGGACCAACUCAACCAGGCAGUGGUGGACCAACUCAACCAGGCAGUGGAGGACCAA